GAUGAACGCUAGCGGCAGGCCUAACACAUGCAAGUCGAGGGAGGAGCUUUCGGGCUUCGCCCGGCGUACGGGUGCGUAACGCGUAUACAAUCUGCCUUUCACAUAGGGAUAGCCCGAAGAAAUUUGGAUUAAUACCUAAUGGUAUAUAGAGGUGGCAUCACCUUUAUAUUAAAGCUGAGGCGGUGAAAGAUGAGUAUGCGUUCUAUUAGCUAGUUGGAGAGGUAACGGCUCCCCAAGGCGACGAUAGAUAGGGGUUCUGAGAGGGAUAUCCCCCACACUGGUACUGAGAUACGGACCACUCCUACGGGAGGCAGCAGUGAGGAAUAUUGGACAAUGGUCGGAAGACUGAUCCAGCCAUGCCGCGUGCAGGAAGACGGCCUUAUGGGUUGUAAACUGCUUUUGCAGGGGAAGAAUAAGGACUACGCGUAGUUUGAUGACGGUACUCUGCGAAUAAGCAUCGGCUAACUCCGUG
RNAcentral lists this ribosomal RNA (472 nucleotides) under uncultured bacterium. RNAcentral's name for it is "partial 16S ribosomal RNA". It matches the Rfam family "Bacterial small subunit ribosomal RNA", at positions 28 to 507 of the family's 1533-position model. The record is from RNAcentral.